UACGGAAGCCCGAAGGACUGGGCAAAGGAUUUCCUGAGCUAAGAGCUGACUGGGGUUCCGGUGAUAGAUACUGGGACUUUGUGCCAUUGGCUGUCCUGGUUCUCAGGCCUUGGACUCUGACUGUAUUACACCAUCAGCUUUCCUGAGCCUCCAGUUUACAGAUGACAGAUCGUGUGACUCCAUAAUCCUCCAUAAUCAUGUGAGACAACUCUUCAUGAUAUACAUACAAAUAAUUCUUUCUCUGGAGAAAUCUGACAAAUACAAAUAUCUAUUAUUAAUAUCCAAAGAUAGCCUUGAACCUUUUUUUCCAAAUAAUGGAGCCAUUUCGUUUUAUUUUUAAGUAUUUGGUAGGAGAUGUUCAGAUUAUAGCUUUCCUUUUUUUUUUUUUUUUGACAGGCAGAGCUAGACUGUGAGAGAGAGAGACAGAGAAAAAGGUCUUCCUUUUCUGUUGGUUCACCCCGCAAAUGGCCGCUACGGGUGGCACGCUGUGCCGAUCUGAAGCCAGGAGCAAGGUGCUUUCUCCUGGUCUCCCUUGCAGGUGCAGGGCCCAAACACUUGGGUCCUCCUCCACUGCCUUCCUGGGCCACAGCAGAGAGCUGGACUGGAAGAGGAGCAACCGGGACAGAAUCUAGUGCCCCGACUGGGACUAGAACCCGGGGUGCCGGCGCUGCAGGCGGAGGAUUAACCAAGUGAGCUGCGGCGCUGGUCAAGAUGUUCGAUUAUAGCUUUCCUACAUAUAAAGGUAGUUAGCUAUGUUCUAUACAAAGCCACCCUAAAGUGACUCAGAAAAGAGUAAGCAAAAGUAAUGGAAAGUAUGGUUAUAUCAGCCAAAAACCCAUCCCUGUUAUUAAAGGAAUAGUUCAAACCAUAAGCCGUGCUAACAGUUGGUACAUCGUCGUUAAUACAAAUAGUCUUUGUUUGAAAGGAUUCUACCACCUUCUCUCUUUUUCAUUUCACAGACCAAUUACAUUUAUUUGACAAUAAAAACAUUGUCAGUCUAAUCCACUUGAGGGUGCUAUAAGAUUAUUGUGAUACAAAAUUUUAGCCCCUUUACCAGAAAACCUGCUAACUAAACAAGGAUUCAGGGAUGAAUUAUACUGACCUAUCAAAUAGAGUCAUUUUAAGUUAAAUGUGUCUCUAAACUUUCUCCAAUUUUUAGUGACUGGUAAAUGUUUUGAAGCCAUUAAUUUAAUGUAAAUCACCUCAUAUCUCAUUGCCUAGGGUUGAUUAUCUUAGUAACUUGUAGUUACUUUUUAAAAAGAAAGAUUACUGAUUUCAGUUCCAGCCUAGGCUGAUUAGUUCUGAAAAGACCCAGAGGUAUCAGCCUCUGGUGAGCAAGCAGCAUGGUGGUGCAUUUUAUAAUCCAUGUAUGAUGUAUGUGGCAUUCCUGGAGAUGUGCAGUGCUUGACCAAAUGUAGUGACCAUCUGCAGUACUAGAUUCAGCCAGAUUUCUUGUAUGUUUGUCUUUGUUUACAAAAAGGACUGAGAAAUAGAAUGAAGAUAUUCUAGAAUAAAUAUAUGAUGAUUGUUCUGGAAAACAAGGAGUUGAAAGAUGUGUGUAGUACUAAUAGUUUAAUGUGCUUAUUUUCAGGUACUUGAUCUUGACUGUUGAUAAGGGUACACAUAUUCACACACACACAUACACUAUACAUACACAUACACACUUUUUGAAUUCUCAUUGUGUGCCAAUUUCACAGGAUACAAUUCCAGAGAAAAUGUCAGGAUUAUAACCAAGAAAAUUUGCAAGUUUAAUACUAUAUAAAUAGUAUUCUUUGUCUAAACAUUCUAGAUUGCCUUUUUUUAAAUUAAGAUUUAUUUAAUUUAUUUGAAAGAGUUACACAGAGAGAGAAGGAGAGGCAGAGAGAGAGAAAGAGAGAGAAGUCUUUCAUCCGCUGGUUCACUCCCCAGAUGGCUGCAAUGGCUGGAGCUGCGCCAGUCCAAAGCCAGGAGCAAGGAGCCUCUUCCAGGUCUCCCAUGUGGGUGCAGGAGCCCAAAGACUUGGGCUAUCUUCUACUGCUUUCCCAGGCCAUAGCAGAGAACUGGAUGGGAAGUGGAGCAGCUGGGACUUGAACUGGCACCUAUAUGGGAUACUGGCACUGCAGGCGGUGGCUUUACCUGCUAUGCCACAGUGCCGGCCCCUCUAGAUUGCUUUAAUACUCAUUUUAAAUGCAACCUAGACAUUUCUGUAAAAUAAGAGUAAUUGAUCAGUUUUCAAUUAUUAAAGUAAUUUUAUAUUUUAUUUGACCCCAGCACUAAAGGAGAACUUCAGGGAGUAGACAUGUAUUAAUUUCCUUGAUGGGGGGCCAGCACUGUGGCACAGCGGGUUAAAGCCCUGGCCUGAAGCGCUGGCAUCCCACAUGGGCGCCGGUUCUGUUCCUGGCUGUUCCUCUUCCGAUCUAGCUCUCUGCUAUGGCCUGGGAAAGCAGUGGAAGAUGGCCCAAGUCCUUGGGCCACUGCAUCCACGUGGGAGACCUGGAAGAAGCUCCUGGCUCCUGGCUUCGGAUCAGGGCAGCUCUGGCUGUUGUGGCCAUCUGGGGAGUAAAUUAUUGGAUGGAAGAUCUCUCUCUGUACCUCUCUAUGUAACUCUGUCUUUCAAAUAAAUAAGAUAAAUCUAAAAAAAAAAUUCCUUGAUGGAAUCCAUUGGAAGAUCUGAUACAUCAGGGAAAGGAUUUACUUUACCCUGAUCAUUUUACUUAUUUUUUUUAAACAAGAUUUAUUUAUUUGACAGAGAAAGAGAGAGAGAGCGAGCGAGCUGUGUUCUGUCUGCUGGUUCCAAAGUCUCACAACAGCUAGGGCUGGGUCAGGUGGAAGCAGAGUCAGAAACUCCAUUUGGGUCUUGCAUAUGAUUGGCAGCAACCCAAGUACUUGGAUUUUCAUCUCCUGCCUCCCAUGUGGAUUAGCAGGAAGCCAGAUCAGAAGUAGAGGUUGGACUUCAUGCCAGAUACUCAGAUAUAGGAUCUGGACAUUCCAAGUGGCAGCUUAAGCUGUUGCAUUACAAUUCCUGUCCCUAUCCUAGUCACUUUCUAUAUGGCAUUUGAUUGUCUGUAUACACAGAGUAGUCUAAUUAUCAAAUGAAUGAAUGAAUUCAUUUAACAAAUUUCUAGUGAGUUAGAUGCUGUUUAUUUAUUUUUUUAAAAGAUUUAUUUGAGAGUCAGAGGUACACAGAGAGAGAAAGGUCUUUUAUCCUAUGGUUCACUCCCCAGUUGGCUGCAAUGGCCAGAGCUACACUGAUCUGAAGCCGGGAUCCAGGAGCUUCUUCUGGGUCUCCCACAUGGGUACAGGGGCCCAAGGACUUGGGCCAUCUUCUACUGCUUUCUUAGGCCAUAACAGAGAGCUGGAUUGGAAAUGGAGCAGCCAGGUCUCAAACCGGUGCCCAUAUGGGAUGCCGGUGCUUCAAGCUAGGGUGUUAACCAACUAUGCCACAGUGCCAGCACCUAGAUGCUGUUUAAAAGGAUAGAGAUGGGGCCGGCGCUGUGGCGCAGUGGGUUAAUGCCCUGGUCUGAAGUGCCAGCAUCCCAUAUGGGCGCUGGUUGAAGUCCCGGCUGCUUCACUUCUGAUCCAGCUCUCUGCUAUGGCCUGGAAAAGCAGUGGAGGAUGGCCCAAGUCCUUUGGCCCCUGCACCCACGUGGGAGACCCGGAAGAAACUCCUAUCUCCUGGCUUUGGAUCGGGGCAGCUCUGUCCGUUUUGGCCAAUUGGGGAGUGAACCAAAGGAUGGAAGAUCACUCUCUCUCUCGGUCUCUCCUCUCUUUGUAUAACUCUGACUUUCAAAUAAAUAAAUAAAUAAAUAUUAAAAAAAAAUAAAAGGAUAGGGAUAUAAUAGUGGAAAAAGACACCAAGAUCCUUGCUUUUUUGAGCUUACAUCCCCAAGGGAGACAGAUAAUGAGCAACAAACAUAAUAAGUAAAUGAUGAAGUAUAUUUUUUUCUGAUAGAUAGAGAAGUAAAUCAAGGCAAGGGACAAUGGAAGUGUAGGAUGAAUGUAACAGUUUUUUUAAGGGAAAGUCUCAUUUCAAAGGUGACAUUUAAGCAAAGAUUUGAAGGAGAUGAAGAGUUAGUCAUUCUAAUUAUUUGAGAGAGAAGAAUUCCAGGCAGGGUGCAUAGUCAGUCUAGAGAUCCCAAGUUAGAUGAUGUAUCUGAAAAGUAGGAAGUAAGUACGGCAGUGAUAGAGUGAACACAGAGACAUAGGACUUUUAAAAAAACAUUUAAUAUUUAUUUCUUUAUCUUUUGAAAGGCAAGGAGAGAAAGAGAGAGAGAGAGAGAGAGAGAGAGAGAGAGAGAGAGAGAUAUCCCAUCCAUGGUUUACACUCCAAA
Non-coding RNA from Oryctolagus cuniculus (rabbit), 4310 nucleotides. The record is from RefSeq and is a predicted model, not a curated record. Lineage: Eukaryota; Metazoa; Chordata; Mammalia; Lagomorpha; Leporidae.